This is a non-coding RNA of Triticum urartu, 120 nucleotides long. The record is from Rfam. Lineage: Eukaryota; Viridiplantae; Streptophyta; Magnoliopsida; Poales; Poaceae.
AGAUGCGAUCAUACCAGCAGUAAAGCACUGGAUCCUAUAAGAACUCUGAAGUUAGCAUUCUUGGGCAAGAGUAGUACUAGGAUGGAUGACCUCCUAGGAAGUCCUCAUGUGUUGCAUUCC